Lotus japonicus is the source of this 698-nucleotide long non-coding RNA. RefSeq lists it as uncharacterized. The record is from RefSeq and is a predicted model, not a curated record. The transcript is spliced from 2 exons. NCBI's taxonomy places the organism in Eukaryota, Viridiplantae, Streptophyta, Magnoliopsida, Fabales, Fabaceae.
UUCUCUCUCUUACUUUUGUUUUCUUCUUAUCGAUCUCUCUCAUCAUUCCACCUCUGUAAAGAAAAGUGUAAGUAACAUUUUCCUUUUUAUACCCAUUUCACACUGUUUUAUAAUAUCAUCAUUAAAAGUAAUUUGAUUUAUUACUUGAGAUUUGAUUGAAGUGAAAAAAACACACACGUCUAAAAAUAACUAACAAUACCACCAUUUAUGUAACUCUCUUUUAUAAGCUUUGUAUGACAGGUUCGAACUUGAAACAUGUUAGGGCCUGUUUGGGGUAGCGUUUCAGACCCCAAACGUGCGUUGCGUCCUGGAGAACGUGAUUUACCAGUUUGCUGCAAGUGUUUGGUUUAGCGUUUUUGUCAACGCACCAACGCAGAUCCAGGCCAAAACAGCGUUGAACGAACAAGAAGCGAUAAAUUAGAGCGGCAGCGUCCAACGUUCGCGUUUGACCGUUGAAGAAUUAAAGUUUGCUGUUGAACAUGCCUUUGUGGGACUGGGACCGUGCACCUGCGAGCUGCAACUAGUUGCAAGGGAGAAGAAACCAGGAAAAUAGCCAACGAAGAAGAAAGAGGAGAUGCAAGUAAUGAAAAAUAUCUCAGAAAGAGGACCGUGCACCUUGUUACUUUAUUUGUUUCAUUUUUUAUUUUAUAUUUAGUAAUGAAAAAUAUCUCAUAAUAAAUAAUUGCAGCUUAUCUUUU